Molecule: ribosomal RNA, 449 nt
Filed under: uncultured bacterium
Lineage: Bacteria
Description: partial 16S ribosomal RNA
Rfam family: Bacterial small subunit ribosomal RNA
Source: RNAcentral
GUCGAGAAUCUUUCACAAUGGGGGCAACCCUGAUGGAGCGACGCCGCGUGGAGGAUAAGGUCUUCGGAUUGUAAACUCCUGUCAUGCGUGAACAAGGUUGCUUGGUUAAUACCUGGGCAAAUUGAUGGUAACGCAAGAGGAAGAGACGGCUAACUCUGUGCCAGCAGCCGCGGUAAUACAGAGGUCUCAAGCGUUGUUCGGAAUCACUGGGCGUAAAGGGUGCGUAGGUGGCCUGGUAAGUCAGAUGUGAAAGCCCGGGGCUCAACCUGGGAAAUGCAUCCGAUACUGCCAUGCUAGAGUACUGGAGAGGUGACUAGAAUUCUCGGUGUAGCAGUGAAAUGCGUAGAUAUCGAGAGGAAUACCAAAGGCGUAGGCAGGUCACUGGACAGUUACUGACACUGAGGCACGAAGGCCAGGGGAGCGAACGGGAUUAGAAACCCGAGUAGUCC